This 72-nucleotide transfer RNA is filed under the name Marmota monax (woodchuck). Its description in RNAcentral is "tRNA.Gly". Lineage: Eukaryota; Metazoa; Chordata; Mammalia; Rodentia; Sciuridae. The record is from RNAcentral.
GGAUUGUGGCUUAGUGGUAGAGCGCUCGCUCACCUAGCAAGGACAAGGCCCUGGGUUCAAUCCUCAGCACCA